This 8300-nucleotide long non-coding RNA is filed under the name Sorghum bicolor (sorghum). Its description in RNAcentral is "long non-coding RNA (SBIC_LNC010431)". The record is from RNAcentral. Lineage: Eukaryota; Viridiplantae; Streptophyta; Magnoliopsida; Poales; Poaceae.
UGUGGGCCUUUCUUCCGUAUUUCCUGAUAACCCCCUGUAGAAAUAGACGAACACCAAAACUUGUGGAAUUCUGUCAGAUAAAAUCCUAAGUCUAGGUGUUGGUUCAAUUUCGAUCCUUUUCUAUGAUCAGUUGAUUGUUAAUUGUGAGCAUUAAGGACCGUCAACAAGCUCCCCCAAGCUUAACCUUUGCUCGUCCCUGAGCAAAGAUGAACUCAAGAGUUUCUGCAGUGGUUUCAUAACUUAAAGAUACACAUGCGUUUAAACAAGAUCUCAUCUCUGGUUAGAGUAAACUGUUAAGAUUUAAACUUACUCAUUUUACCUUCCACCAUGGGGCUUGCAACCGUCACUUGUGUCUUGAGCAGUUAAAAGAUAGAACGGUCUAGUCAAGCGCCAUGUCUCUUGUUCUUCGAUUAACUAUAGCUCUGGAGUUUUUGCAGAUUUUCAAAUAAAACUCAGAGAUUCCUUGUAUGACUCUCUCUAGUGUCUAUUUUGUGGUAUUUCAGGAUCCUUACCAAGGCAGUGAUGGUAUAUGCCUUCUCUCAAAGUAUGUGGUAUUUGUGGUAUAAGACAUAGUGGCAUUGCCUUUUCUCUCACCCUACUCUAAUAAGGUUUUGAUAUCUGGAGCUCAUAGGUGGGAGAUAGCUAAUACAUACUUACAAGACAUUUAUUGCAUAGUCAAACCAUGGAUCCAGAAGAACAAGUCAAUAAGUCAAAUCAAGAUGUGCAUGUGUGGCGAAUGAAUGAUGCAUGGUAAUGAUGGUGAUAACAAUGGUGAAAGUCUAAUUCUACUUAUGCUCUUUUGAGGGGAUACAUACCUUUCUUGCUCUUUUGAAACUUUUUGAGGAGAAUGAGAUGCUCUAUAUUUUCUUUUUUCUUUUCUCUCAGGUGGGUAUCUUGUACCCCUAAUUCUACUGUCGGACAUUUGUCCAUUUUUACCUCUCGUCUCACUUUUUUUUCUUUUCUUUCGAGGUUCCGGGCACUUGCCCCUUUUUAUUUCCUCGUAUUUAUUUUUUUUCCCUCUUUUUUUUUAUUAGAGCACUCAUCUCAUGAGAUAAUAUAGCAAGUGGUAGUAACAAGAUAACUUGAGCAUUUAUUUCACAGGGAAAAACAUAAAUAGGAGAAUAUUUUUGGCUAUUCUCUCCCGGAUUAGGAGUAGAAUAUUUUUGGGUGGUUCUGGAGAUGGAAAUGGAUGGAUAUAUGUGGAUGGUACUUCUGGAGUAGAAGUAGCACGUGUGAGUGAACGUGCAAGUGAAUCUUGAUUUAACCACAUGACAAACUCCUAAGGGUCUACACAGCUUGACCACACUCAAUGCUCAUAAGCAGUAAAAAGUAAAUGUGUGGUUCAUAGUCUAACAAGCAUGUAUAUAUGGCUGUGGUAGGAAUUUAAACUCUCAUCAUACAGGAACUCAUCAUGCAACAUUUUAAAGAUUUUCAAAGAUAAAAUUCUCUAGAAUUCUAGCAUCUCUAGGAACAGAUAAACAGCAGCUCAACCUUCCCAUAUCAUAUCCGUUAACGACUUAGACUUCAGAUCAAGUACUCUCCCCACAAGUUCAGGUUUAGAGCAAAUCUUAAUUAAUACCAGUCAUGCCUAAACUAGAGAGAGAUUUCAAUUUUGAGAACUAGCCAUGGCAGAGCAACUAUUCAUCAUUUCCAUGUGAGAGCUUAUCAUGAGGAUUCAUGGCAAACUUUAUUUAUUUAUUUAUUUAGCAAACUAAGCAAAGAUAUAUAUAAGCACAAAAUCUUUAUUUGGGUUUUUAUGAUUAUGCAUCUUUUUAUUAUUAGAGUAGAGUAUAAACGUGAGUAGAAUACUUAGCUGGAUAAAUGGGGGUGCUCUCCCCCAAGCUGGAUUUUGACGUAAUUCCUUUUGAUGUAGCUAGCCAGUGGUGGAGGUGUAUUUGAAUGUCGGCAGCACCCUGAUGACGAUUAGGAUGUCCUUCGUCUACUAGUCUUCUUUGAUCCUUGAAUUCUGUGGAGCUCAAAUAAACAACAAAGCUUUGUAGAACUAGUUAAGUGUUAGCAUAUAUAUCUAGCCUUUAUCAUGUUGAGCCUCCUCAAUAAAUGUUACUCAUUAGUAGGAUCAUAAUUUUAUUUUUAUAAUUUUAUUUUUAUAGGACAUGAAUAUACUUAUUUCAUUUUUACGCAACCACAGUGGAUGUACUUAUGGGUUUUAUGCCAUGAUCAUACUCACAUGGGGCUUACUAUUUUUAACAUUUUUAUUUUCUUUUCAAGAUGAUAUGAACCUGCUUAACUAAGCAAACUAUUUUAAAUAGUUGAAAGGAAAAAGAUAACUACCAAGUUUACCUCUUGGCAAGGCGUUCGGUGUUUUUAAGUCCUCCGAAUGGGACUCUCCAUUUUCUCAGUCAUCCUGGGAUUCGCUGGAUGCGUAGUCGGUGGUUCCGGUGGAGCCUCCUCUUCGUGUAUAACAAUCUUCUCUCUACACACCUGACUCGGUGCUACGGUCUCCUUAGGACAGUUCUGUUCAAGUUGUAUGUCUUCAGAUAUUACCACUUCUUCUUCGUAGUCUGCCCAUCCGUCCUUUAUGAUUUUCCUCCUCUGGUUACGGUUGCGUCGUCUUCUUCUUGUCCUGACCUGCUUAGAGUCUUCAACUAUAUAGUUAGAGUCAGUAAAACAGUGGCGUAACUUCUCUGAGGGGAAGUUCAUGUGGACUUCUCCGGUUCCAAUGUAGAUGAUUAUUUUAACAGUGCUGAGGAACUGUCUCCCAAGGAUGAUGGGUGGAUCGUGCUCGUCUUUUCCCAUGUCAAUAACCAUUCAGAAUGUCUGAUCUGCCAUCUGAAGUUGAAUGUAUGUCGGUUUAGGGGCAUGGUUCUGAAUAGGAGCUGAUAGGUGACUAGCGGCCAUUAUGUUGAUGCCUGACCCGGUGUCGCAAAGCGUCUUCUAGAAGUUGUAUCCAUUAAUGGAGCACUGGAUGCUUGGCAUGCCUGGUCGUCCUUUUUGGUCAGGAACGGUGACUUAAAUAGAUGAUCUUGACCUCCUUGAACUGCAGUGACCAUCUUAGCUGACUCGGUCCACACUUGCUUGUUCCUGUUCCUCCUGUUGGUCCUCUUCCUUGGUUCAUGUCGGGAAUGCUCUGAGAUUUGUGUAGUCUUGUUCUUGAAGGAAAACGUCUCCUUCCUCCCCUUGAUGUAGAAACUGAUCUUGGCAGCACUAGCGUAGAUGACAGCUCCUGAGGUGUUCAGGAAUGGCCUCCCUAGGAUGGAUGCCCUCUCAUCAGUACCAGUCUCUAUCACCACGAAGUCUGCUGGGGCGUACAAGGUACCAACUCAGACGAAGAGGUUGUUCAAUAUUCUCUUUGGGAAACUUAGCGUACGAUCUGCAAGCUGCAAACACAUGGUUGUUUCUAGGAAAGGAUGUGUAAAGAAUUUUUCAUAGAGUACCCUGAGCAUAAUGUUGACGCUGGAGCCAAAGUUGCAGAGUGCUUCUAGGAAGUCCACCAUGCCGAUGGAGAUCGGGAUGACGGGACGUCCUGGAUUGUAUCUCUUGACCAGCAGAAGGUCAGUAAUUACUUCCACAACGGGGUUACUCCAGUAGUUACGUCCUCAAGCAUCUCAGGGCAGUGAUUGCCUGAGUGUCCAGUAUCUCCAGUGUGUUUGUGCUCGUAGAUCUAGGUUCUUCACUUGGUGGAGUCUGGGAGUUGUAAAAGUCCGUCAUAUUUUGCUUGAAGUGUACCUGCUCAUAGAGACAAGGCAGAGAUCAAGUGCAUGGGCCCUGUUGGUGGAAAACACCAACAGAACCAAAAGUGUAUUUGUUCUCUCUAACCUUAAGAAUAGUGAGCAAGACAAAGUUGAUGGAUAAUAAGAUCAUGAGUGUAGCAUUUAAAACAUUUGUCAGAUCAGAUCACUCAAUCUAAUGGAAAGAUAAUCUAUCUAUAUUUAUGUUUUUUUAUCUUCCAAAGGUUGAGUGUGCAACAUUAUAGCUCAUAUUAGGAGUAUAGGAUCACCAAAAGUGGAAGGACUAAACAUGUGGAAUCGAUCGGGUUGGUUAAUCUAGAGUUGUAAACCAUACAUGUUUGUCUCUUUUAUUCAUGUGAACGCCAGAACCAAGGAGAAGCUUAUAGAAGUGAUAGUCAAGUACCUUAAGAUGUUACCUUACUUGAAGAGUGAUGGUACAGUAUCACCUUAUGGAAGCUUUCCUUUCUUAGCGGUUGUGCAUCGUUUUUGUGGCACCCUCCAUGGAUCAUCUCUUAUGCCUUCCUUGUGUAAAUUGUUAAACUUCAUGUGUCUCUCUCUUUGUCUCUAAUGUGAGUUUAUCUCAGGACUUCCCAGGUCGAUAUUGAAAGUUUUCCUGCAGGGGUUAGUCCAACAAAAUAUCCAAUAUCUACUAUAGCAUACUAUCGGCUCAAAAAUCAAUCUAGACACCAUGUCUACUUUGAUUUAGGAGGGCAUUUUAACCUAAGCACCAUGCUUAAUUUAAAACCCCUUGGAAGUAAGAUCAUCAUUCCUAACUAAGCACCAAGCUUAAUUAAGAGAUAAAUGAAACUACUCCAAACCUAGACAUAUACUAAAGCAAAUAAAGGUAGCAUGAGAGCAUUUAUAGAGUUCUACUCAAGUGGAGAUGAAGUAGUGUGAUUAGUAUUUAACAAAUUGAGCAUGUCUCAAAGGUAGGGACAACCAACAUAACAACAUGGCAAAGGAUGUUCUUAUGUAAGUACUCCCCCAAGCUUGAAUUUUUCAAAAUUCAAGUUUGGAUGAAUUUAAUUCAAUGUUGUAUGAUAGUUGGUUGGACAUACCUUGUGCUUGGCAUUCAUCCGAUCUUCUUGCUCCAAUCCUGAAAAGGUUAGUGACAAGAAUACCCGAAGGAAUUUUCUACAAUUAUCCUUAUAUGCUCAAUACACAAGGUAAUGUUGCAAAUAAUUAAAAGCUCAUGUUACGAUCUGAUCAGUGCUUGUUUUAGGACACUAAGCUUGUCCUUGGGAAACCCUCAAUUUAUGUCGGCGAAGUGGUUUCCCCUCCAACGCUGACCUAUAUUAAGAUCAACUCAACGAGAUCUGCAAAAUUUAUUAUAGACAUAUGCAUCGACAACCGCCCUUUUAAAGUUUUCAUAAAUAGAAAGGAAGUGGGGGUUGGAGAUCUCGAAUGUGGUGAUGUUGGAGAGACCAAUGGAUUGUGAAGAUGUUGCAUAUGAGCAUGGAGUAAAUGAAGUGGCUAUGAAAUAAAUUCCAUGCUCAUUAAUGCUUAGAGUGAAAUCCAUGUGGUAUGGUGAAAAUGGUAAGGUGAGUGUGGUAAAAAAAAGAAAAGAAAAAGGAUACACGGACGACUUGGUUCGAAACUAGCAUAGCUACUGUUCCCCGGCAACGGCGCUAGAAAGCUUGUUGGGUAUUUUAAACGCAAACAGAAAAAUCCGCAAGCGCACGGAUACCGAUGUAGCUUUCACCCGGGAGUAUUCUAGAGUAUCGAUUUUCCACAGAGAACGUGAGUGCACUAAUUAAGAUCCAAGAUCGCCCAAGGAUAACUAUAUAAUUAUUUUUGGUGGGAAGAGAGGAAGUUUCCUGAGAGUUCUCUAGUUGAUCUAAGAAUCAAAAAUUAGUUCAAGAUUAUCUAUUUCGGGACAUCAGAACACUAACCACAGAAAGAGACGAGAAGGGGGCUAGGAAGGUCUGACUACGGUCCUACAAACACCGAUCCGAACAAGGUGGAAUACGUCGACCGUUAGGGCUGUCACUACCCUAAGGCUACCACAACAAUCCGCAGGAUUGGGUGCAAUUCUAUGUAAUUGCAAGACUAAACACCACGUCUAAUCUAUUAAUUACUACUCUAAUGUUUCAAAGAUUAGAGCACUUGAUGCAAGCAGGAAUCCAAUAAAUAACUUGAAUGUAAAUAAAAGUAAUUAGAGAACUCAGGAAUUAUGAAUUGAAGAACGUGGAGAACGAUGAAGAACGAACCAGUUGCUGCAAAAGUACAAUGUUGAGGAAGAUCCGACAGAUCCGGCUCCUCCUCCUCCGCUCUCCUCUUCUCUCUUCCUAUUUUCUAGAUUACAACUCGCACUAACUAGAACUAGAACUAGAGGAACUAGAACUAGAACUAGAUGAACUAGAACUAGAUCUAGAUGAACUAGAGGUAGAACUAGAAGAACUAGAGGGAUCCUCUCUACUUGGAUGAAGAAUUGAAACCCUAACUUUGAUUCUGUAGAAGAGGUAUGAUCUCCAGGGGCCAGGGGAUCUGGUUUUAUAGUCCCUUCAAGUGAAUCUGGGCCCUCGGAUCAAACCGACAUUGAUCGUGUGGUUUUCCUUGAAGUAUUAGGUCGGUGGAGUGUUGUCCCCGAAUUGGACUCUGUUUGGUCCAGGGGGGAGGGCGGGCGCCCAGUAAGGGAGGGCGGGCGCCCAGUGCCCGGCUCCGUUACGUCUCCCGUUCGCUCCCGUGGCUUCUGGACUCUUCUAGAUGGUAGAUAGUUGUGCGGCACGUUAAUAUCUCUAUGUAAACCCGACGUGUGGGCCUUUCUUCCGUAUUUCCUGAUAACCCCCUGCAGAAAUAGACAAACACCAAAACUUGUGGAAUUCUGUCAGAUAAAACCCUAAGUCUAGGUGUUGGUUGCAUUUCGAUCCUUUUCUAUGAUCAGUUGAUUGUUAAUUGUGAGCAUUAAGGACCGUCAACAAGCUCCCCCAAGCUUAACCUUUGCUCGUCCCUGAGCAAAGAUGAACUCAAGAGUUUCUGCAGUGGUUUCAUAACUUAAAGAUACACAUGCGUUUAAACAAGAUCUCAUCUCUGGUUAGAGUAAACUGUUAUGAUUUAAACUUACUCAUUUAAACUUCCACCAUGGGGCUUGCAACCGUCACUUGUGUCUUGAGCAGUUAAAAGGUAGAACGGUCUAGUCAAGCACCAUGUCUCUUGUUCUUCGAUUAACUAUAGCUCUGGAGUUUUUUUAGAUUUUCAAAUAAAACUCAGAGAUUCCUUGUAUGACUCUCUCUAGUCUCUAUUUUGUGGUAUUUCUAGAUCCUUACCAAGGCAGUGAUGUUAUAUGCCUUCUCUCAAAGUAUGUGGUAUUUGUGGUAUAAGACAUAGUGGCAUUGCCUUUUCUCUCACCCUACUCUAAUAAGGUUUUGAUAUCUGGAGCUCAUAGGUGGGAGACAGCUAAUACAUACUUACAAGACAUUUAUUGCAUAGUCAAACCAUGGAUCCAGAAGAACAAGUCAAUAAGUCAAAUCAAGAUGUGCAUGUGUGGCGAAUGAAUGAUGCAUGGUAAUGAUGGUGAUAACAAUGGUGAAAGUCUAAUUCUACUUAUGCUCUUUUGAGGGGAUACAUACCUUUCUUGCUCUUUUGAAACUUUUUGAGGAGAAUGAGAUGCUCUAUAUUUUCUUUUUUCUUUUCUCUCAGGUGGGUAUCUUGUACCCCUAAUUCUACUGUCGGACACUUGUCCAUUUUUACCUCUCGUCUCACUUUUUUUUCUUUUCUUUCGAGGUUCCGGGCACUUGCCCCUUUUUAUUUCCUUGUAUUUAUUUUUUUCUCUCUCUUUUUUUUUAUUAGAGCACUCAUCUCAUGAGAUAAUAUAGCAAGUGGUAGUAACAAGAUAACUUGAGCAUUUAUUUCACAGGGAAAAACAUAAAUAGGAGAAUAUUUUUGGCUAUUCUCUCCCGGAUUAGGAGUAGAAUAUUUUUGGGUGGUUCUGGAGAUGGAAAUGGAUGGAUAUAUGUGGAUGGUACUUCUGGAGUAGAAGUAGCAUGUGUGAGUGAACGUGCAAGUGAAUCUUGAUUUAACCACAUGACAAGCUCCUAAGGGUCUACACAGCUUGACCACACUCAAUGCUCAUAAGCAGUAAAAAGUAAAUGUGUGGUUCACAGUCUAACAAGCAUGUAUAUAUGGCUGUGGUAGGAAUUUAAACUCUCAUCAUACAAGAACUCAUCAUGCAACAUUUUAAAGAUUUUCAAAGAUAAAAUUCUCUAGAAUUCUAGCAUCUCUAGGAACAGAUAAACAGCAGCUCAACCUUCCCAUAUCAUAUCCGUUAACGACUUAGACUUCAGAUCAAGUACUCUCCCCACAAGUUCAGGUUUAGAGCAAAUCUUAAUUAAUACCAGUCAUGCCUAAACUAGAGAGAGAUUUCAAUUUUGAGAACUAGCCAUGGCAGAGCAACUAUUCAUCAUUUCCAUGUGAGAGCUUAUCAUGAGGGUUCAUAGCAAACUUUAUUUAUUUAUUUAUUUAGCAAACUAAGCAAAGAUAUAUAUAAGCACAAAAUCUUUAUUUGGAUUUUUAUGAUUAUGCAUCUUUUUAUUAUUAGAGUAAAGUAUAAACGUGAGUAGAAUACUUAGCUGGAUAAAUGGGGGUGCUCUCCCCCAAGCUGGAUUUUGACGU